This 3848-nucleotide long non-coding RNA is filed under the name Homo sapiens (human). RNAcentral's name for it is "HSALNT0365868". The record is from RNAcentral. Lineage: Eukaryota; Metazoa; Chordata; Mammalia; Primates; Hominidae.
UUGGGAGAUUAGUCGGACACGAUCAGCUGGGAGAGCACGUGUGUUUUUAUGAGCAUUAUGCCGAGAUAGGUAACAGAUGAGGAUGAAAUUUGGGCUUGACUGAAGUAAUGGGGGCUGUCUGUGAAGCCUUGUGGCAGUACAGCCCAGGUAAUUUGCGGAGCCUAAUGGGUGUCAGGGUCAGUCCAAGUGAAAGCGAAGAGAAGCUGGGAUGAGGGGUGCAAAGGAAUAGUAAAGAAAGCAUGUUUGAGAUCCAGAACAGAAUAAUGGGUUGUAGGAGGAGGUAUUGAGGAUAGGAGAGUAUAUGGGUUUGGCACCACGGGGUGGAUAGGCAAAACAAUUUGGUUGAUAAGGUGCAGAUCCUGAACUAACCUGUAAGCCUUGUCUGGUUUUAGGACAGGUAAAAUGGGGGAAUGGUAAGGAGAGUUUAUAGGCUUUAAAAGGCCAUGCUCUAACAGGCAAGUGAUAACAGGCUUUAAUCCUUUAAAGCAUGCUGUGGGAUGGGAUAUUGGCAUUGAGCCGGGUAAGGGUGAUUAGGUUUUAAUGGGAUGGUAAGGAGUGCAUGAUCGAUCACUAAGUGGGGAGUAGAUGUGUUUUAUACUUGUGGGUUACGGUGGGGAGAUACAAGGGGAGGAUGUGAAGGAGGCUUUGAACUGGGGGAAAAGCUGGCAAUGAGGUGUGGCUGUAGUCCAGGAAUAGUCAAGGAAGCAGAUAAUUUAGUUAAAGUGUCUCGGCCUAAUAAGGGAACUGGGCAGGUGGGGAUAACUAAAAAGGAGUGCUUAAAAGAGUAUUGUCUAAAUUGGCACCAGAGCUGGAAAGUUUUAAGAGGUUUAGAAGCCUGGCCAUCAAUGCCUACAACAAUUAUGGAGACAAGGGAAACAGGCCUUUGAAAAGAAGGUAAUGUGGAGUGGGUAGCCUCCAUAUUGAUUAAGACGGGGACAGACUUACCUUCCACUGUGAGAGUUACCUGAAGGUCGGCGUCCGUGAUGGUUUAGGGGUCUUCCGAGGCGAUUGGGCAGUGUCAGCCUUCAGCUGCUAAGCCGGGAAGAUCUGGGAAGGAGUCAGAGAGCCUUGGGCCAGAGUUCCAGGAGCUCUGGGAGUGGCUGCCAGACGGAUAAUGAAUCACCUACCAGUUGCAUCUGUGUCUGCUUUUUCAACUCCAGCUUACUCCUACUACUACUGCAACUAUUUGCCAGGCAUCCCUUUGUUUCCUGAGUCCUAGAAGCAGGUCCCCGACGAGGAACAACGAUGCCUGGACUCAGCUUCAGCCUCUGUUCUUCUACCGUUCAGAAGCCACCCUCCGGCAAGGUGACCCCGGCUGCUGGAUGGGGCAAGCCCAGGAAUUCUCGGCUUCUGACACAUGACGCAUUCAUCUUCUCCGACAGUGUUCCCAUGCACAACUUGUGGUUCGGGUUGGAAAUGCAAAGUGGAAAAAUGCAUAGCAGUAUCCCCUCCUCCAAGGCCUCAGUCUCUGUGCUCAUAUUCACUGAGACUAGUGACCCCCGACUUCCCACUCGCCGGCCCCUCCUCCUCCCCUUCCAACAUAAUAUGCUGUUUACUUAUUUAUUGUGUUCAUUUUCCGUCUCACCCAAAUCUAUUCUAGAAAAGGUUUUGUUUUGUUUUGUUAUUUUUCAGUGUUCUGUCCACUGUUGUACCCCCAGUACUUAGCUUCCCAUUUGCUACGCAGCAGACACUCAGUAGAUAUUGGUUGAGUGAAGAAAUGAUUGAGGACCAGUCAUCAUGCUUUUGUCCUAGCCUCACUGGGAACCAGCUAUACAGCUAUUGCCCUGUGUCUCAGUUUCCUUAUUGGGAAAUGGGGAUAAUAAUCUCUAAAGAAACAGAUGGAUGCAUAUAUGCAAACUAUUUAUAUGUUUGUAUAUUCCUAUCUGUAAAGUGUUUGUAUAUUCACAUAUGUAAAGUAAAAAAUGUAAAACGUUGGAUAAGUAUAAUGGAUGCACACUAUUUACAGUGCAUGGACACCUGUCAUGAUAAACAAACUGGAGAAGCAAUCACUAGCAAAUAGAUCAUAUCGAUAUGUGUGUGCCCCCAUGAAAACCUCCACAUUGUUGAAAGUGCUACCUGCUCUAAUCUCCUGUUUGUGAAGAUUAGCCCUAUUUCUCUAUCCAAAAAGAAGUUAUCUUGGGGGCCCAGCACCCCAAAAAAUUAGAUCUCAGGCCAUUGCACUAUGUCUAAGGGGUAUGUUGUAUAAGAUGUGCACGUAGUGGAAAUUGGACAAAGGGCACUAUAUAUAGAAUGUGAAAGUGGAGUUUUCAGGACCUGUGCUUUAAAUAUCAGGCAUGACAUCGUCACCAGCACCUCCAGGAGCGGAGCCGGAGGCAGGAUUCUCUGGGGAGUGCAUUUCCUCCAGUUCUGCUGAUGCAGGAGAGAAGGGUGAAUCAGCAGUAGGCGGCUGAAAGUUUUGAUAAUCACAAUUUGCUCUGGGUGAUCAAGUGGGGCCUGGAUGGAGGGAAACAAUUGGAUAUCUAACUAGGCUAAGCAAGAGGGCUCAGGGGACUGGCAGGAGAAGGAUACAGUGCUUUUACCUCCUGAUCAAGCUUUUCCCAUCUGGUCAUUUUAUUUGUCAAUUUUUCCCAUUUCAUUUACCAGGCUGUUCCCUGACUGUUACCUCCUCUGGCAAAUAGCUCAGCCAAUCAUUCUGCCUUGGGAAGGAUGUCUGGCUAAAGUGCCCAAUGUGGCCCCACCUAGGCCUUUUCCUAUGAGUACCCCUCUCUGUGGCCCAAGAUCCUCUCCAGCUCCCCCAUGAUAUUAGGUGUGGGAUCCACAACUUGCCUGCGGCAGAGAAACCCAGACACUCUCAUCCUGCCCUUUUCUUUCGUCAUGAAACAGGGUUGUGGGUUGGGUGGGAAAGGGGCUGAGGGGGUGAGUUUAGAGAGAGGAGGCUGGAAAUGAGAUUCCCAGCUCCAUCAUUAUUAGCAAUGUGACUUUGGGGAUAUUGCCACACCUCUCUGAGCCCCAUCUUCCUUCAUACCAAGAUGAUAAUCUCUCUCUCAUAGUCUCUGGUGAGAACCAGAGAGCAGGAGACACAAGUGCUGACCCAUAGUAGGUGAGGGGUACACAACUAUUGAGUAUACACAAUGGUCUCUCGAGAGCUGUCUCUACUGUUGAAUUUUUGAAUUCCUAAAACCAGAAGGGAAGAAAAACCAACAUUGAAUAAAAGUGCUAGACUGUAGUAGGUGCCUGUGUAUGUCAUCAUAUCACUCCCCGCCAACAGACUUAUAAACUGAAGAGUAGUAGUCCACUGCUCUGGUUUACAUAUGUCCCCCAAAAACCGUGUGUUGGAAACAUAAUCCUCAAGGCAACAGUGUUGAGAGGUGGAGCCUGAUAAGAAGUGAUUAGACCACAAGGGCUGUAUGGUUACGAAUGGAUUAAUACCAUUAUUACAGAAGUGGGAUCUUUAAAAAAUAAUGAGUUUGCCCCCCUUUUGUCUCUCUCUCACUCUCUCUUGCCAUUCUACUUUCUGCCAUGAUGAUACAUCAAGAAGGUCCUUGCCAGAUACCACCUCUUGAUCUUGGGCUUCUCAACCUCCAGAACUCUGAGCCAAUAAAUUUCUGUUCAUUAUAAAUCACCUAGUCUGUGGUACUCUAUUAAAGCAGCCCAAAAUAGAUGAGGAAACUGAAAAACUUAAUAGAUGAGGAAACUGAAUUACAGAAAGAAUUACUAACUUGUGCAAGGUUAGGCUGCUGAUAAAUCAGAGCUGGAGCUCCAUACUGGUUUUGAUUUCAAAGUCCAUCCCUUUCCCCAUCACUAGGCUGAAUCCCAGGAGACUGAAGGUUAACCAGAGAAAAUUCCAGACUGCAUGACUGGUAGAGUUUGCCCACAACCCCUAGGCA